UUACCAGCAGUCCGGGAGGUGCCUGUGCUCUAGUGCCAUUACAGGAAGACAAGGGAACUCCUGGGGGCAGGAGCCAGCGAGGAAGAAGGCCCAGAGACGUGCGAGGGGGAACUGCGUGGAGGAGGUCGGAGGUCGCCGGAGAGACAAUGGGGUUCAACUGGUCAAGACGGCAUCGCCCUUCUGUUUGUCCUUCACGCGCUCCCGCCUUGCACUGGGUCUGCUCUGGGUGACAGAGGACAGCAUUCUGGGGUGCAGAGUUUGACCAAAAAAAAAAUUUCAUGGCACUUAGUAAAAAUAAAAAGAGACCUGCAGUGAGGAAAUAUUAACCCAGGACACCUCAAGGUAAAAGCUCUUCUAGGGCGUUUGAAUUCGGGGAUGUUAUGAGAGAACACGUGGGCUCGAAGACGCGGAGGGGAGGGAAGGCAAACCGAAGCGGCCUCCUCAGUCAGAUCCUCUCGGGAAAACUGGGUUAGAGUCUCCUGUGACCAAAUGCUUGUAAUUUUCCCUUAAAAUCUGUUUUGCAAUUUUUUUCACUAGUGUAUCAAGAAAGCCUGGUCUGAAUCAACUAACACCACAUCAACGAAUAUCCCGGACCUGGGAGCCCCCAUGUAGCUGUCCAAAGCGUAGGCUGGGGGGUGAGGCAGACCCAAAUUCCGACUCCACCGCUUACCUGUGCUGUGAUCCUAGGUAAGGAAGUCCCCCAAGCAGUGGUUCCCCAUCUUCAAAGUGAGACUAACAUACCAGUGGUGGGCUGCUAUGUGUAUCAAUUAUAUGAAGAAUGUAAAAAGGUGAGCGCAGUGCCUGGCGCAUAAGAAAAAGAGAAGAAAACGUUAGCUCCUACUGCAUCAUUUGACCCCCGGCGCCCACACUCAUGGCCCAGCAGAGAUUUCUCUCUGGAGAAAGAGUUUCUCUGUUUUAGUUUCCCUCUGGAGAGAGAGGUGGGCAGGGAGUGUGCAUGGUGACGAUGACACAGAGACUGGACCAAGGUCAAGGCAACCUAGCAGGGG
Molecule: long non-coding RNA, 1007 nt
Filed under: Sus scrofa (pig)
Lineage: Eukaryota; Metazoa; Chordata; Mammalia; Artiodactyla; Suidae
Description: lncRNA (ENSSSCG00070026873.1)
Source: RNAcentral